UAAGGAAUAUUGGACAAUGGAGGCAACUCUGAUCCAGCCAUGCCGCGUGAAGGAAUAAGGCCCUAUGGGUUGUAAACUUCUUUUAGACGGGACAAAACCCCUUUACGUGUAAAGGGUUGAUGGUACUGUCAGAAUAAGCAUCGGCUAACUUCGUGCCAGCAGCCGCGGUAAUACGAAGGAUGCAAGCGUUAUCCGGAAUUAUUGGGUUUAAAGGGUGCGUAGGCGGACUAAUAAGUCAGUGGUGAAAGCCUGCAGCUUAACUGCAGAAUUGCCAUUGAUACUGUUAGUCUUGAGUACAGUUGAGGUAGGCGGAAUGUGUCAUGUAGCGGUGAAAUGCUUAGAUAUGACACAGAACACCAAUUGCGAAGGCAGCUUGCUAAGCUGUAACUGACGCUGAGGCACGAAAGCGUGGGGA
Molecule: ribosomal RNA, 415 nt
Filed under: uncultured bacterium
Lineage: Bacteria
Description: bacterial SSU rRNA
Rfam family: Bacterial small subunit ribosomal RNA
Source: RNAcentral